UAGGGAAUUUUGCGCAAUGGACGAAAGUCUGACGCAGCAACGCCGCGUGAGGGAUGAAGGCCUUCGGGUUGUAAACCUCUGUUGGACGGGAAGAAACGCAGGGCGAAUAACACUCGCCGUGCCUGACGGUACCGUUCGAGGAAGCCCCGGCUAACUACGUGCCAGCAGCCGCGGUAAUACGUAGGGGGCAAGCGUUGUUCGGAAUUACUGGGCGUAAAGGGAACGUAGGCGGGAAGGUAAGUUAGGAGUGAAAUCCACAGGCAUAACCUGUGGCUUGCUUUUAAUACUGCCUUUCUUGAGUAUGGGAGAGGGUGAUGGAAUUCCAGGUGUAGCGGUGGAAUGCGUAGAUAUCUGGAAGAACACCAGUUGCGAAGGCGGUCACCUGGCCCAAUACUGACGCUGAUGUUCGAAAGCUAGGGGAGCAAACAGGAUUAGAUACCCUGGUAGUCCUAGCCGUAAACUAUGGACACUAGUUGUUGGAGGGCUUUGUCCUUUCAGUGACGUAGCUAACGCGUUAAGUGUCCCGCCUGGGGAGUACGCUCGCAAGGGUG
This 551-nucleotide ribosomal RNA is filed under the name uncultured bacterium. RNAcentral describes it as "bacterial SSU rRNA". It matches the Rfam family "Bacterial small subunit ribosomal RNA", at positions 355 to 896 of the family's 1533-position model. The record is from RNAcentral.